Molecule: ribosomal RNA, 497 nt
Filed under: uncultured bacterium
Lineage: Bacteria
Description: partial 16S ribosomal RNA
Rfam family: Bacterial small subunit ribosomal RNA
Source: RNAcentral
GAUGAACGCUGGCGGCGUGCCUAAUACAUGCAAGUCGAGCGAACGGACGAGAAGCUUGCUUCUCUGAUGUUAGCGGCGGACGGGUGAGUAACACGUGGAUAACCUACCUAUAAGACUGGGAUAACUUCGGGAAACCGUAGCUAAUACCGGAUAAUAUUUUGAACCGCAUGGUUCAAAAGUGAAAGACGGUCUUGCUGUCACUUAUAGAUGGAUCCGCGCUGCAUUAGCUAGUUGGUAAGGUAACGGCUUACCAAGGCAACGAUGCAUAGCCGACCUGAGAGGGUGAUCGGCCACACUGGAACUGAGACACGGUCCAGACUCCUACGUGAGGCAGCAGUAGGGAAUCUUCCGCAAUGGGCGAAAGCCUGACGGGGCAACGCCGCGUGAGUGAUGAAGGUCUUCGGAUCGUAAAACUCUGUUAUUAGGGAAGAACAUAUGUGUAAGUAACUGUGCACAUCUUGACGGUACCUAAUCAGAAAGCCACGGCUAACUACGUG